Long non-coding RNA from Oncorhynchus tshawytscha (Chinook salmon), 421 nucleotides. The record is from Ensembl. NCBI's taxonomy places the organism in Eukaryota, Metazoa, Chordata, Actinopteri, Salmoniformes, Salmonidae.
GCGGCAGGUUGACUGGAGAGCGGCAGGUUGACUGGGGAGCGGCAGGUUGACUGUAGAGCGGCAGUUUGACUGGAGAGCGGCAGGUUGACUGUAGAGCGGCAGGUUGACUGGAGAGCGGCAGGUAGCCUAGGGGCGGCAGGUAGCCUAGGGGCGGCAGGUAGCCUAGGGGCGGCAGGUAGCCUAGGGGCGGCAGGUAGCCUAGGGGCGGUAGGUAGCCUAGGGGCGGUAGGUAGCCUAGGGGCGGCAGGUAGCCUAGGGGCGGCAGGUAGCCUAGGGGUGGCAGGUAGCUGAAACGUUGCCGGAUUGAAUCCCCGAGCUGACAAGGUAAAAAUCUGUCAUUCUGCCCCUGAACAAGGCAGUUAACCCACUGUUCCCCGAAUGCCGUCAUUGUAAAUAAGAAUUUGUUCCUAACUGACUUGCC